GAUGAACGCUGGCGGCGUGCUUAAUACAUGCAAGUCGAGCGAACAGACGAGGAGCUUGCUCCUCUGACGUUAGCGGCGGCGGGGUGAGUAACACGUGGAUAACCUACCUAUAAGACUGGGAUAACUUCGGGAAAACGGUGCUAAUACCGCAUAAUAUAUUGAACCGCAUGGUUCAAUAGUCUAAGACGGUUUUGCUGUCACUUAUAGAUGGAUCCGCGCCGCAUUAGCUAGUUGGUAAGGUAACGGCUUACCAAGGCGACGAUGCGUAGCCGACCUGAGAGGAUGAUCGGCCACACUGGAACUGAGACACGGUCCAGACUCCUACGGGAGGCAGCAGUAGGGAAUCUUCCGCAAUGGGCGAAAGCCUGACGGAGCAACGCCGCGUGGGUGAUGAAGGUCUUCGGAUCGUAAAGCUCUGUUAUUGGGGAAGAACAAAUGUGUAAGUAACUAUGCACGUCUUGACGGUACCUAAACAGAAAGCCACGGCUAACUACGUG
This 497-nucleotide ribosomal RNA is filed under the name uncultured bacterium. Its description in RNAcentral is "partial 16S ribosomal RNA". It matches the Rfam family "Bacterial small subunit ribosomal RNA", at positions 28 to 507 of the family's 1533-position model. The record is from RNAcentral.